ACCUUCAUGCAGUGUAGCAAGAGCUAGAAUAGAGGCCUGUGAGCAGGGUGGACGUCAUUCCUCAGUUCAGCAUCUUCGAAUAGAGGGUAGGGAAGGAAUGAAAUAGAACUUGCCCAUCGCAAUUAUGCACCCAUCAUGAUGCAAACCCUCAACCAACACUGCUCGGUAGACGUCACUGUUUUCAUUUUUCAGAUGGGCCAGCUGAGGCUCUGAGAGGCUGACUUAAGAAGCAUAGUUGUUAAAGGCGAAGCUAGGAUUUGAAGGCAGAGCACUGGACCCUAAGGUCAGCAAUUCCUUCUCAGGCUUUCAGCUUUCUGCAGCUCCAACUCAUUGCUGGAGUGAGGCGGGGCAUCAACGAAAGGGUGGGCGUCCCCAGGGCUGGAGGGCUGGAGGCAGCUGCCCGGGAGCGGUCGGGACCCAUACCUGUUGGGCGUGGUCUCAGCCAGCUCUUCCCGGCACCACUGGCAGCGGCUGCGGUAGGUGCAGCUGAGAACCCGACCAGGCCACCUGACAGCCGCAGAAGUCGCGCAGAUAGCGGUGCAGCCCCGCGGCGGCCGCCACGCCCGUGGAGCCGCGCACCCGCACGCGCGCCCCGCCGCCGCCGCUCAGGCGGUAGGUGUCCAAGCCCGACUCGGUCGCCAGGGCGCGCUCCACAGACACCAGAAAUCGGCCGCCGGCCCGGGCCCCAGCAGCCGGACCACCAGCUCCCGCACGACCGUCUCCUCCCGGGCCUCAUCGACCGAGGAGCUCCCAACCCCUGCCAGGAGCAGGAACCCCAGAGCUGCGGCCACCGUAGCGGCCUCCAUGGUCCCAGCAUGGCGGCGCCCAGCCAACAACCAAUCCGGGCUCGGGACCAGGGGAGCGGAACAGCUAGUGUCCAAUCAGCUGUGGACCUCCAGCCACGUGGAACUUAGGCUGGAACUCCCGCUCGCGGCCCGUGAGACUCAGCUUCCGGGCCCAGACCCAACCCUGAGAGUGUCUUCUGACCACACGCGGAGUGGGGGCGCGUGACUCCAUCAAAUACCCAGGGCCGCAUGGGGCGCAUUGCCCUUCCCAAAGCGCCUUCAGUGGGGUAUAUGCUGUGUCUGGCGCUCAGUUGAGAAGAGGACUGUCUGGAUCUGGGACCAUAAGGACUUGUCAAUGGACCCAUCCCAGCUGAUUCCCACCUUCAGCUGAUGGCCACCAGGGAGUGAAGCAGCCCUGCUGGGAAUCAGGCAGCAAGGUUUCAGUUCCUGGAUUUUCACACCCUGUGAUGGGGAUCAAAUCCGUGGCUUCACACAUACUAG
Long non-coding RNA from Sciurus carolinensis (gray squirrel), 1286 nucleotides. RefSeq lists it as uncharacterized. The record is from RefSeq and is a predicted model, not a curated record. The transcript has 3 exons. Lineage: Eukaryota; Metazoa; Chordata; Mammalia; Rodentia; Sciuridae.